RNAcentral lists this non-coding RNA (28 nucleotides) under Rattus norvegicus (Norway rat). Lineage: Eukaryota; Metazoa; Chordata; Mammalia; Rodentia; Muridae. The record is from RNAcentral.
UGCCUGAGGCUCUGCCCACAGUGUCGGA